CCUACGGGAGGCAUCAGUCGAGAAUCAUUCACAAUGGGGGAAACCCUGAUGGUGCGACGCCGCGUGGGGGAAUGAAGGUCUUCGGAUUGUAAACCCCUGUCAUGUGGGAGCAAAGUAAAAAGAUAGUACCACAAGAGGAAGAGACGGCUAACUCAGUGCCAGAAGCCGCGGUAAUACAGAGGUCUCAAGCGUUGUGCGGAAUCACUGGGAGUAAAGCGUGCGUAGGCUGUUUCGUAAGUCGUGUGUGAAGGGCGCGGGCGCAACCCGCGGACGGCACAUGAUACUGCGAGACUAGAGUAAUGGAGGGGGAACCGGAAUUCUCGGUGUAGCAGUGAAAUGCGUAGAUAUCGAGCGGAACACUCGUGGCGAAGGCGGGUUCCUGGACAUUAACUGACGCUAAGGCACGAAGGCCAGGGGAGCGAAAGGGAUUAGAUACCCCGGUAGUC
RNAcentral lists this ribosomal RNA (446 nucleotides) under uncultured bacterium. Its description in RNAcentral is "partial 16S ribosomal RNA". It matches the Rfam family "Bacterial small subunit ribosomal RNA", at positions 338 to 795 of the family's 1533-position model. The record is from RNAcentral.